GUGCAGGAUAAGUUACAAUGCAGCCUGUGCAGUACUGUAUUGUCGUUCCCCCUGCAGAAAGUCAAAAUGUUUCCUCGCUAUCCCUGUCUGUCAUUUUUUUUCGUUGACUGUCAGGGACGUAAGGUUUCAGACAC
This is a small nucleolar RNA of Poecilia latipinna (sailfin molly), 134 nucleotides long. Its record names the gene SNORA63. It matches the Rfam family "Small nucleolar RNA SNORA63". Rfam says of the family: E3 belongs to the H/ACA class of snoRNAs and is involved in the processing of eukaryotic pre-rRNA and has regions of complementarity to 18S rRNA. The record is from Ensembl. Lineage: Eukaryota; Metazoa; Chordata; Actinopteri; Cyprinodontiformes; Poeciliidae.